UAACACGUAAACAACCUGCCUUCAGGAUGGGGACAACAGACGGAAACGACUGCUAAUACCGAAUAAGUUCCAAGGGCCGCAUGACCCAUGGAAGAAAAGGUGGCCUCUACCUGUAAGCUAUCGCCUGAAGAGGGGUUUGCGUCUGAUUAGCUGGUUGGAGGGGUAACGGCCCACCAAGGCGACGAUCAGUAGCCGGUCUGAGAGGAUGAACGGCCACACUGGAACUGAGACACGGUCCAGACUCCUACGGGAGGCAGCAGUGGGGAAUCUUCCGCAAUGGGCGAAAGCCUGACGGAGCAACGCCGCGUGAGUGAUGACGGCCUUCGGGUUGUAAAACUCUGUGAUCCGGGACGAAAAGGCAGAGUGCGAAGAACAAACUGCAUUGACGGUACCGGAAAAGCAAGCCACGGCUAACUACGUGCCAGCAGCCGCGGUAAUACGUAGGUGGCAAGCGUUGUCCGGAAUUAUUGGGCGUAAAGCGCGCGCAGGCGGCUUCCCAAGUCCUUCUUAAAAGUGCGGGGCUUAACCCCGUGAUGGGAAGGAAACUGGGAAGCUGGAGUAUCGGAGAGGAAAGUGGAAUUCCUAGUGUAGCGGUGAAAUGCGUAGAGAUUAGGAAGAACACCGGUGGCGAAGGCGACUUUCUGGACGAAAACUGACGCUGAGGCGCGAAAGCGUGGGGAGCAAACAGGAUUAGAUACCCUGGUAGUCCACGCCGUAAACGAUGGAUACUAGGUGU
RNAcentral lists this ribosomal RNA (736 nucleotides) under uncultured bacterium. RNAcentral's name for it is "bacterial SSU rRNA". It matches the Rfam family "Bacterial small subunit ribosomal RNA", at positions 111 to 823 of the family's 1533-position model. The record is from RNAcentral.